Molecule: long non-coding RNA, 768 nt
Organism: Mesocricetus auratus (golden hamster)
Lineage: Eukaryota; Metazoa; Chordata; Mammalia; Rodentia; Cricetidae
Exons: 2
Source: RefSeq, a predicted model, not a curated record
GAGUUUCUCUGUUGUGUGUAGCCCUGCCUGUCCUGGACCUCACUCUGCAGACCGGGCUGGCCUCGAAAUGGAAUUAUUUUUAAAGUGAUGCUGCUUGGAUUACUUAGAAGGAAGACAGGAGUCCAGACCCCAGCAGAAAUGUCACCAGACCAGAGAGUGUGGGCAGACGACAAGAGAAGACAGAAGCACAGACAUGGUUGGGAGGAGAACACAUUCCACAGAUUUUUCCAGAAAACCUAGUGCUGCUUUCCAUUUCCUUGAGCCAUGUGGGUUUCCAAAAGCAAAUCAGCUCACUGGAAAAUGAAACAGAUGGCAAGAAACCGUCACAGCCCGGAAAAGAAGCUUGUGAAGGGUUAAAUGCUCAAAAACCAGUAUGUCACCUAAAACAGCAUGUCAACUGUGUCAGCCUUCCAGGAGCAGAGUCCUGCCUAUCCACUUCCGCUUUAUGCAAUGUGGCCUCUCACUUACCCUCUAGCAUCUUUAUGUUUUGGAAGUCUGGAACAAAUCCUGCAAGCCGCAGCAAUGUAGAGAGGUGCCCAAGGCUGUGUGCAUCGUGACCCUGACCCAAGGCAGAAGAAGGUGGAGAGCACAGGCUGGUGAGAGAUGAGGAUAUGAUCACUUUUCCUAAAUACACUCAGAAUUGGGUCAGCUGGCUCACCCUAGACACACCUAGGUGGGGGUGUUCCACACACUAGCAGAAACCCAAUCUUUAGGUUGUAAACUAGUCAGCUAUUCCUUUGGCAUGUUCUAACACUUCACCUGAAAGUU